RNAcentral lists this unclassified non-coding RNA (152 nucleotides) under uncultured Pleosporales. Its description in RNAcentral is "sequence contains ITS2". The record is from RNAcentral. Lineage: Eukaryota; Fungi; Ascomycota; Dothideomycetes; Pleosporales.
AAACCCUCAAGCUCAGCUUGGUGUUGGGUGCUUGUCCUCCCCCCGUGGUGGACUCACCUCAAAUGCAUUGGCGGCCUGUAUGUUGGCUUCGAGCGCAGUAGAAUCGCGCCCUGAGUCUCUACAUGCAGGUCCCCCAGAAGCACCUUUCUUAU